This 460-nucleotide ribosomal RNA is filed under the name uncultured bacterium. RNAcentral's name for it is "partial 16S ribosomal RNA". It matches the Rfam family "Bacterial small subunit ribosomal RNA", at positions 338 to 795 of the family's 1533-position model. The record is from RNAcentral.
CCUACGGGCGGCAGCAGUGAGGAAUAUUGGUCAAUGGACGAGAGUCUGAACCAGCCAAGUAGCGUGAAGGAUGACUGCCCUAUGGGUUGUAAACUUCUUUUAUAUGGGAAUAAACUGUUCCACGUGUGGGCUUUUGUAUGUACCCUAUGAAUAAGGAUCGGCUAACUCCGUGCCAGCAGCCGCGGUAAUACGGAGGAUCCGAGCGUUAUCCGGAUUUAUUGGGUUUAAAGGGAGCGUAGGUGGAUUGUUAAGUCAGGUGUGAAAGUUUGCGGCUCAACCGUAAAAUUGCAGUUGAAACUGGCAGUCUUGAGUACAGUAGAGGUGGGCGGAAUUCGUGGUGUAGCGGUGAAAUGCUUAGAUAUCACGAAGAACUCCGAUUGCGAAGGCAGCUCACUGGACUGCAACUGACACUGAGGCUCGAAAGUGUGGGUAUCAAACAGGAUUAGAUACCCGAGUAGUC